Molecule: ribosomal RNA, 255 nt
Filed under: uncultured bacterium
Lineage: Bacteria
Description: partial 16S ribosomal RNA
Rfam family: Bacterial small subunit ribosomal RNA
Source: RNAcentral
GUCCACGCCGUAAACGAUGGAUACUAGCUGUUGGGAGCAAUCUCAGUGGCUAAGCGAAAGUGAUAAGUAUCCCACCUGGGGAGUACGUUCUCAAGAAUGAAACUCAAAGGAAUUGACGGGGGCCCGCACAAGCGGUGGAGCAUGUGGUUUAAUUCGAUGAUACGCGAGGAACCUUACCAAGGCUUAAAUGUAGAUUGACCGUUUUGGAAACAGAACUUUCGCAAGACAAUUUACAAGGUGCUGCAUGGUUGUCGU